Molecule: long non-coding RNA, 696 nt
Filed under: Mytilus galloprovincialis (Mediterranean mussel)
Lineage: Eukaryota; Metazoa; Mollusca; Bivalvia; Mytilida; Mytilidae
Source: RNAcentral
GUGUUGCUCUCCUAGAUACAAAAUGUAUCCAAAAUCAAAGAUGUAGAACAUAUUCUAUCAUAAUCCUUCGGUAACUAGUGUUAUUACUGUCUCCUCCAUGCCUGUCAUGAACAUAAAAAAAAGAUAUUAAAUAAAUAACAGUUCUAAUGCUCAGGUUGGUUGUCACCGUGCAACACAGUUAAUAAUAUAAAAAACAUAUAUGAGACAACUAUCAACAAAAGACCAAAAUGACACAAACAUUAACAGUUAUAGGUCACCGUACGGCCUUCAAUAAUGAGCAAAGCCCAUACCGCAUAUAUAGUCAGCUAUAAAAGGCCCUGAUAAGACAAUGUAAAACAAUUCAAGCGAGAAAACUAAUGGCCUCAUUUAUGUAAAAAAAUGAACAAAAAACAAAUAUGUAACACAUAAACAAACGACAACCACUGAAUUACAGGCUCCUGACUUGGGACAGGCACAUACAAAAAUAAUGUGGCGGGGUUAAACAUGUUAGUGGGAUCCCAAGCCUCCCCCUAACCUGGGACCCCUACAACAUAAGAACAAACUAUAAAAAUCAGUUAAAAAGGCUUAACUCAUCAGAUAGACAAAAAAAUAACACCAUAAAGGAAAAACAUAGAACUCCUUUUGUCAUAAGACACUGUCAAACAUCCAAACAUACUAUCCACACUCAUCUGUGUCCACACUUGUUGUUAUAUAAAA